RNAcentral lists this ribosomal RNA (468 nucleotides) under uncultured bacterium. Its description in RNAcentral is "partial 16S ribosomal RNA". It matches the Rfam family "Bacterial small subunit ribosomal RNA", at positions 28 to 507 of the family's 1533-position model. The record is from RNAcentral.
GACGAACGCUGGCGGCGUGCUUAACACAUGCAAGUCGAACGGAAAGUCCCUGCUCUUGUGUUGUUCCCGCGUGGCGAACGGGUGAGUGACACGUGAGUAACCUGCCCGUGACUUUGGGCUAACUUCAGGAAACUCAGGCUAAUACCGGAUAGAAUCUCCUGUUACUUGGUUUGCGUUGGAAAGUUUCGGCGGUUGGGGAUGGAGGGGCGGCUUAUCAGCUUGUUGGUGGGGUUUGGGCUUUCGAAGGCGUUGGCGGGUAGCCGGCCUGAGAGGGUGACCGGCCCCAUGGGGACUGAGGUAGGGCCCAGAGGCAUACGUGAGGCAGCAGUGGGAAACAUUGCGCAAUGGGCGGAAGCAGGAUGCAGCAACGCCGCGUGGUGGAAGACUGUUUUCGGGGUGUAAACAGCAUUCGCCUGUAACGAAGCGUGAGUGACGGUAAUGAGUAAAGAAGCACCGGCUAACUACGUG